Molecule: non-coding RNA, 60 nt
Organism: Salmo salar (Atlantic salmon)
Lineage: Eukaryota; Metazoa; Chordata; Actinopteri; Salmoniformes; Salmonidae
Source: Rfam
AUGGCUCAGUUGUUAGAGCAUGGUGCUUGCAACACCAGGGUGGUGGGUUUGAUUCCCUCU